AUUUAAUGACCACUCAUCAUUUAGAUAAUCUUUAUGCUCAGCACAUGCAGUAAUAAUCACAACAAAACGCCAAUUAGAUAAAGUAAAACUCACACAUCAAGUAUGUAUAAGCACAAUAAUUCAUUCAACCAAAAGACAAAGCAAAAAAGGGUAAAAGUCGCCCCUGGGCAUAAUCCAGUGGUACAAAGGACAGGAGUGAGGUUAUCUCACACCUUGCUGGCAGUCGCAGUAUAAAAGUUCGAUUCUUGAGAUAUGGAAUUUGACUUCUUGUAUGCGCAGUGUACAAGCGGCUCUUGUUCCCUGGCUUGUUAGGGCACAUCCCGUGAUUUACCUC
Molecule: long non-coding RNA, 334 nt
Filed under: Olea europaea (common olive)
Lineage: Eukaryota; Viridiplantae; Streptophyta; Magnoliopsida; Lamiales; Oleaceae
Description: long non-coding RNA (OEUR_LNC010736)
Source: RNAcentral